GAUCCUGGCUCAGGAUGAACGCUAGCUACAGGCUUAACACGUGCAAGUCGAGGGGGCAGCAUGAACUUAGCUUGCUAAGUUUGAUGGCGACCGGCGCACGGGUGAGUAACACGUAUCCAACCUGCCGAUGACUCGGGGAUAGCCUUUCGAAAGAAAGAUUAAUACCCGAUGGCAUAGUUCUUCCGCAUGGUAGAACUAUUAAAGAACUUCGGUCAUCGAUGGGGAUGCGUUCCAUUAGGUUG
Molecule: ribosomal RNA, 242 nt
Filed under: uncultured bacterium
Lineage: Bacteria
Description: partial 16S ribosomal RNA
Rfam family: Bacterial small subunit ribosomal RNA
Source: RNAcentral